UCUGGCUAUGCCCCCACCCCACUGCAUAAGGUCUCGCUACACCCCCACCCCACUGUAGAAAGUCUGGCUACGCCCCCGACCCGCUGUAGAAGGUCUGGCUACGCCCCCACCCCACUGUAUAAGGUCUGGCUACGCCCCCGACCCGCUGUAGAAGGUCUGGCUACGCCCCCACCCCACUGUAUAAGGUCUGGCUACGCCCCCACCCCACUGUAGAAGGUCUGGCUACGCCCCCGGCCCGCUGUAGAAGGUCUGGCUACGCCCCCGCCCCGCUGUAUAAGGUCUGGCUACGUCUUCGACCCACUGUAGAAGGUAUGGCUACGCCCCCCGCCCCGCUGUAUAAGGUCUGGCUACGCCCCCGCCCCGCUGUAUAAGGUCUGGCUACGCCCCCGCCCCGCUGUAGAAGGUCUGGCUACGCCCCCGCUCCGCUGUAGAAGGUCUGGCUACGCCCCCGCCCCGCUGUAUAAGGUCUGGCUACGUCUUCGACCCACUGUAUAAGGUCUGGCUA
Molecule: long non-coding RNA, 505 nt
Organism: Brienomyrus brachyistius
Lineage: Eukaryota; Metazoa; Chordata; Actinopteri; Osteoglossiformes; Mormyridae
Exons: 4
Source: RefSeq, a predicted model, not a curated record